Molecule: small nucleolar RNA, 132 nt
Filed under: Astyanax mexicanus (Mexican tetra)
Lineage: Eukaryota; Metazoa; Chordata; Actinopteri; Characiformes; Acestrorhamphidae
Description: U8 small nucleolar RNA (ENSAMXG00005015256.1)
Rfam family: U8 small nucleolar RNA
About the family: U8 is a member of the C/D class of snoRNA which contain the C (UGAUGA) and D (CUGA) box motifs. U8 is the RNA component of a small complex (the U8 snoRNP) which is required for accumulation of mature large subunit ribosomal RNAs, 5.8S and 28S rRNAs.
Source: RNAcentral
UUAUCAGUGAGGUUUAUUCUUACCUGUUGUCUUUAUAAUAAGACUGCAGAACGUGAUGAUUGGGUUCAAUGAGUGUGUGAUUAUAUUCACAUUCAUCAGAGAACUGCAACUCUUUGAUGAAUCCUGUCUGAU